Molecule: ribosomal RNA, 339 nt
Filed under: uncultured bacterium
Lineage: Bacteria
Description: bacterial SSU rRNA
Rfam family: Bacterial small subunit ribosomal RNA
Source: RNAcentral
AUUGAACGCUGGCGGCAUGCCUUACACAUGCAAGUCGAACGGCAGCACGGGAGCAAUCCUGGUGGCGAGUGGCGAACGGGUGAGUAAUAUAUCGGAACGUGCCCAGUCGUGGGGAUAACGCAGCGAAAGCUGUGCUAAUACCGCAUACGAUCUCUGGAUGAAAGCGGGGACCUGCAAGGGCCUCGCGCGAUUGGAGCGGCCGAUAUCAGAUUAGCUAGUUGGUGGGGUAAAAGCCCACCAAGGCGACGAUCUGUAGCUGGUCUGAGAGGACGACCAGCCACACUGGAACUGAGACACGGUCCAGACACCUACGGGUGGCAGCAGUCGAGAAUUUUUCAC